RNAcentral lists this ribosomal RNA (443 nucleotides) under uncultured bacterium. Its description in RNAcentral is "partial 16S ribosomal RNA". It matches the Rfam family "Bacterial small subunit ribosomal RNA", at positions 338 to 795 of the family's 1533-position model. The record is from RNAcentral.
CCUACGGGCGGCAGCAGUGGGGAAUAUUGGGCAAUGGGCGCAAGCCUGACCCAGCAACGCCGCGUGAAGGAAGAAGGCUUUCGGGUUGUAAAGUUCUUUUCUCAGGGACGAAGCAAGUGACGGUACCUUACGAAUAAGCCACGGCUAACUACGUGCCAGCAGCCGCGGUAAUACGUAGGGGGCAAGCGUUAUCCGGAUUUACUGGGCGUAAAGGGAGCGUAGGCGGUGGGGCAAGUCAGAGGUGAAAGCCGCGGGCUCAACCUGUGGCCUGCACUCGAAACUGUUGUUCUUGAGUGCAGGAGAGGCAAGUGGAAUUCCGAGUGUAGCGGUGAAAUGCGUAGAUAUAAGGAGGAACACCAGUGGCGAAGGCGGGUUGCUGGACUGUAACUGACGCUGAGGCGCGAAAGCGUGGGGAGCAAACAGGAUUAGAUACCCGUGUAGUC